Molecule: ribosomal RNA, 253 nt
Filed under: uncultured bacterium
Lineage: Bacteria
Description: partial 16S ribosomal RNA
Rfam family: Bacterial small subunit ribosomal RNA
Source: RNAcentral
UACGUAGGGGGCAAGCGUUGUCCGGAAUUAUUGGGCGUAAAGAGCUCGUAGGCGGUCUGUCGCGUCUGCUGUGAAAACUCGGGGCUUAACCCCGGGCCUGCAGUGGGUACGGGCAGACUAGAGUGCGGUAGGGGAGACUGGAAUUCCUGGUGUAGCGGUGAAAUGCGCAGAUAUCAGGAGGAACACCGGUGGCGAAGGCGGGUCUCUGGGCCGAUACUGACGCUGAGGAGCGAAAGCGUGGGGAGCGAACAGG